UGCACCGCCAUCGUCCUCCUCAUUCGCCCCUAGGGUUAGGGUUUUCUCCGGAGCCCCGUGCGAUCCCAAGAUCUCUCCUUCGAUCGCGAGCGACGAGGAUUCGAAAACCCUAGGUGUUCUUCGUGCUCGUUUCUUUCUGAUUGGAAAUUUGCGAACUUUGGAUCGAGAGAUUGGCAAUUUAGAGAAUGUUAGGCCCCAUUUUGCCCCUCCCGGCCCCCCCGGCCGACGGAGACCUCGGCCCGACCCCUCCCGCUCAGCUCCCCAAUGAUCCCCAAACCGACCAAUCCAAUCAGCAAAAGGAUGAGCCUUCCCAGCCCCCGGCCCCCGUCGCGACGCACACCCGAACAAUCGGGAUCAUCCACCCCCCGCCAGAUAUUAGGGUUAUCAUCGAAAAGACCGCAGGUUUUGUCGCCCGGAAUGGCCCCGAAUUCGAAAAAAGGAUCCUUGCGAACAAUGCCGGGAAUGCCAAGUUUAACUUUCUUAUUGCGUCGGAUCCGUAUCAUGCUUAUUACCAGCAUAGGGUUACCGAAUUCCGGAACCAGUUCCAGUCUCAGCCGUCUGGCGACUCUUCCCAGCAAUUGGAUUCUGCCCCCGCCCCCUCGGACUCGACCGCCGCCCCUGCCGCGGCCCCGGCGGCUGCUGAUGAGGGUUCUAAGACGGACCCUGCCGCGCAGUUCAGAAUCCCCCUGCAGAAGGCUCUGGAACCUCCUGAGGCUGAGCUGUACACUGUCCGCCUGCCUGAAGGGAUUACGGGCGAGGAGUUGGAUAUCAUCAAGCUGACCGCGCAGUUUGUUGCUAGGAAUGGGAAGAGCUUCUUGCAGAGCCUGGCCAGCCGGGAGCUGACCAACCCGCAGUUCCACUUCCUGAAACCGACCCACAGCAUGUUCACGUUCUUCACGACGCUCACGGACACCUAUUCGCGGGUGCUGAUGCCGGACAAGGACAAGCCGGAUAAGAUAACGGACAGGCUGAGGAAGAGCAUCGCGGACAUGACGACGGUGCUCGAGCGGUGCUUGCACCGCCUGGAGUGGGAGCGGUCGCAGGAGCAGGCGCGACAGAAGGCGGAGGACGAGAUCGAGCAGGAGAGGGUGCAGAUGGCUAUGAUCGAUUGGCACGAUUUCAUUGUUGUCGAGAUGAUUGAAUUUGCCGAUGAUGAGGAUGAAGAGCUCCCCAAGCCCAUGACCUUAGAAGAAGUCAUAAGGAGGAGCAAGAUGUCUUCUUUGGAGGAUGAAGAGGCGGCCGCUAUGGAGGUGGCGGAGCCGGGCAAGGAGGUGGAGAUGGAGAUGGACGAAGAAGAGGUCCACCUUGUUGAAGAAGGAAUGAGGGCGGCGAGGCUUGACGAGAACGGUGGGGGCGACAAGAAGAAUGAAAUGAAACCACCUGCGGAUGAGGAGCCGCCUAUGAGGAUAGUGAAGAAUUGGAAGAGGCCUGAGGAGCGGCUGCCUGCCGAAAGGGACCCAACCAAGUUUGUCAUUUCGCCAAUCACGGGUGAGCUAAUUCCGAUCAAUGAGAUGGCGGAGCAUAUGCGAAUUUCGCUCAUAGACCCGAAAUAUAAGGAGCAGAAGGAAAGGAUGAUGGCCAAAAUUAGAGAAACCACACUCGCGGCCGACGACGAGAUAUCUAGGAACAUCGUGGGGCUUGCCAGAACUCGCCCUGAUAUUUUCGGCACCACGGAGGAGGAGGUGUCGAACGCUGUCAAGGCGGAGAUCGAAAAGAAGAAGGACGAGCAGCCUAAGCAGGUCAUAUGGGACGGGCAUUCAGGAAGCAUCGGCCGCACUGCCACUCAGGCCUUGUCGCAGAGUAUUUCCAGUGAGGAGCAGAAUGAUGCUGCUAGUAGUGAUGGGAUGAUUCUUCCAGGGCCUGCUCCUCCUCCAAGACCUGGUUUUCCAGGUAUCCGGCCCCUUCCUCCGCCACCUGGUUUGGCUUUGAAUCUCCCGCGUUAUUUGCCCAAUUCUGUUCCGUAUUCUACUCCUCCGACUAGUGGCGGUGUCGCGGUUCCGCCCCUCAGAAUGGGAGUUGGCCCCAUGAUGCCAACUAUGAGGCCACCCCCUCCACCUCCAAUGAACGUAACGCCAAAUCAGCAGUCCAUCGGGAUGAGCCGUCCACCUAUUCCAACAAUGAUCUCGAUGAAUCCUCCCAAUAUUCCUGUUCCACCACCUCCUGGGUCGCAGUUCACUCCUUUGAUGGUUCAGCGCCCUCCUUAUGUUCCCAUGCCUAUGCCGCCACCGAACAUGCAGAUUGCCCCACCGCCACCCCUGCCACUUGGCAUGCCUCCGCCUCCACCUCCUGAGGAAGCUCCUCCUCCGUUGCCUGAUGAGCCAGAACCGAAGAGGCAGAGAAUUGAUGAGGUUUCUCUCAUCCCUGAGGAUCAAUUCAUUGCUCAGCACCCGGGAUCCAUUCGCAUUUCUGUGUCCGUUCCUAAUGUUGAUGAAGGGAACUUAAAAGGCCAAACUUUGGAGAUCACUGUGCAGUCUUUGUCUGAGACAAUUGGUAGUCUCAAAGAGAAGAUUGCCGGCGAGGUUCAGCUUCCUUCUAAUAAGCAAAAGCUGAGUGCCCGGGCGGGUUUUCUCAAGGACAACCUUACUCUUGCAUACUACAACAUCGGGCCUGGAGAUACAGUUACCCUAGCUUUGAGGGAACGUGGUGGAAGAAAGAAAUGAGAUUUUCUUUUUAUUGCCAAAAGGUUACUAGUCACCAGAGAACUUUAUCAGCUACUGUGGAGCUCUUAAAUAUAUCCUAUCUAGAUGUGAUCAUCUUGGAAGUGUCAAUGGUGGGUGCGUAUGUUCCUCAAAGAAGCAAGCUGGUGAAAACUUGGUCUUGUUGUGUUGCCGUCUAUUUUAGUUGUCUCUUUUUGUUGAAAUUCGUACCAUAUUGCUACUAUUGAGAAUUCGGUUCGGGCAUAUAAUUCUCAUGUCAUUCUUUUCUAAUUCCUGUAGACUUUCGCAUCUGGUGCAUAUUAACAGGUUUUACUUUCUGAUGAGGGAUGAUUAUAAAGCUUGUUCACCAUUGUCACUAACAGAGAGCUCCGACUUGAUUUUACCAUGUUGGAUUGAAAGAAACAUUUCCUUUUUGUCCAAGCAUACUGGUGAUAAUGUUCUUAACAUUUUGUUAUGCUUACCAAGUAGCAUUUUAGUUUUUCUGCAUGUGUAAAACGUAUCACUCUUGUUGCUUAACAUCUAUUUUGUGGUUGAGUUCCUGUCCCCAGUAACUGCAUUAUGAUAGUUCAAUGCCAGCAUAAGUGCGCUAAUUAGAGUACUACAUCUUUCUUCUUCUAUGUUCCUCAGGUGGCAGGUACUAAAUUCUUUCGCCAUUGUGUUUUCCUUACUCUUGCUAUUAACUUAGCUCCUUUUUUUAUUCUUUGAUUUACUUUUUGGUUGAUGUAUGUUUCCCUCUGCUGCCUUUAACCGUGCAGACGAAGGGUUGUUAACUGGUGGGAGAAUAGAAUAUAUUUUUCACUGCUCUGUUCCUUUUGUAUUGUUGUAUUUGUUUGAUCAUUUGUGCUAUAGCAAUCAUAUGCUAUAUUGAGCUUGUAGGACAACUAUGCUGUUUACAUAUUCUGGUUCCCAAGUUCUUGUUCUUAAAACAGCUUCUUUAAAAUUCUAUCAUCUGAAAGAACGAGUUAUAUUUUUGGUAGUUUAGUUUAUCCUUGAUGAUAAGGGUAACUUAAUCUAUCAAGAAACAUGAAAUGUAUUAUCUUUUUGCCAGAAACAGCAAGGGUAAGGUGAACCCAGAGGAUUCAAGCAGUUUUUGAUGAGGUCUGGAUAUUUGUCACAGCCAAAAUUGCUUUUGAUUCAGUGAGAAUUUCAAACACUAGCCACUGUCUAAAUUAUGAUUCUGGUCCUUAUGAUCAUCUCACUCUUUGAAUUGUAGGAGUUCUCUUGCAAUAUAAUUUUCAAGUGACCUCCAGUUCUUGUAUGUAAUGUCUUGUUCAAAGCACACAAUUAAUCUACAACAUAUGUUAAGUGAACUUCUUUCCGAGCGAGCUUUUUAUCCAUCUUUUACUUGUUAUAUUAUGUGAGCAAUUUUGUUCCUCAGUUCUGCUGUUCUACAGUGAUAGAGCCGAAUUGGGAUAAAAAUAAAAGCAUCUAACUUUUUCUCUUGGCUUUCAUUCUCGGCUCCUUCCUUUCAGUAUGUUCUUCUAUAGUCAUAAACUAAUGUCAUGGAGUAAAGUAAUGUUAUAGUUUACCUGCUUGUUACUUUCUUUGCGCAAGCUAACUUUCUCCUCCCUCAUUUUCCCUUUACAAUCUUAUGACAAUGGUUUCAUGAGGAAAAUGUGGGUUCACAACGAAUAACUUGGCUCGGAGAAUCUUGGGAGCCUUUCCAUUAACUAUUGCAGAUUUCUGACGAGGAACUUAGGUAAAGUGAACUAGACUUGUUAUUCUACUCUCCUGUGCCUGUGCAUGUUCUAUUCUCAUUCUGCUUUGCUGUCUCUUAAACUAAUCUAAGUAAUGAGAACACUUUUUGUAGUGCACACUUACCUGCAGGUGCGUUAGUGGGGCAAGGUGUUUUCAUGAGCAUUUUCUUAAUUCACUUCGAAUCGCAACCGAUCGACAUUGUUAGGUUUUUGUUUACUCGUCGUGCAUUAAAGAGAGACUGCUUUCUGAUUAGCUUUUAGGGCUUGUUUUCGCUUGUUUCAAUUAUCACACACUAAAAUAUAUGUGUAAGAAAAUCUGACAUUAGAUUACUUCAUAAAGAGUAAUCUGAAUAUGCAAGUGUGGAAACAAAUGAGAUUUUUUGCAUAUUA
RNA transcript from Ananas comosus (pineapple), 4744 nucleotides. It is a transcript of the gene named probable splicing factor 3A subunit 1, with no coding region annotated. The transcript has 5 exons. The record is from RefSeq and is a predicted model, not a curated record. NCBI's taxonomy places the organism in Eukaryota, Viridiplantae, Streptophyta, Magnoliopsida, Poales, Bromeliaceae.